UUCGGCUGUCACUUAUGGAUGGACCCGCGUCGCAUUAGCUAGUUGGUGAGGUAACGGCUCACCAAGGCAACGAUGCGUAGCCGACCUGAGAGGGUGAUCGGCCACACUGGGACUGAGACACGGCCCAGUUUCCUACGGGAGGCAGCAGUAGGGAAUCUUCCGCAAUGGACGAAAGUCUGACGGAGCAACGCCGCGUGAGUAGAUGAAGGCUUUCGUCGAGUCGUAAAACUCUGUUGUUAGGGUCAGAACAAGUGCUAGUUGAAUAAGCUGGCACCUUGACGGUACCUAACCAGAAAGCCACGGCUAACUACGUGCCAGCAGCCGCGGUAAUACGUAGGUGGCAAGCGUUAUCCGGAAUUAUUGGGCGUAAAGCGCGCGCAGGUGGUUAAGUAAGUCUGAUGUGAAAGCCCACGGCUCAACCGUGGAGGGUCAUUGGAAACUGGGAGACUUGAGUGCAGAAGAGGAAUUCGGUGGAAUUCCAUGUGUAGCGGUGAAAUGCGUAGAGAUAUGGAGGAACACCAGUGGCGAAGGCGACUUUCUGGUCUGUAACUGACANCUGAGGCGCGAAAGCGUGGNGGAGCAAACAGGAUUAGAUACCCNUG
RNAcentral lists this ribosomal RNA (602 nucleotides) under Bacillus cereus. RNAcentral describes it as "bacterial SSU rRNA". It matches the Rfam family "Bacterial small subunit ribosomal RNA", at positions 207 to 790 of the family's 1533-position model. The record is from RNAcentral. Lineage: Bacteria; Bacillati; Bacillota; Bacilli; Caryophanales; Bacillaceae.